GAACUAUUUUAGGGAGAACUACUUGACCCUGCAGUGAAGGGAACACUUAAUGUUCUACAAUCAUGCGCGAAAUUUCGUAGCAUCACGAGAGUGGUUUUAACAUCUUCACUUGCUUCAGUAAUGAUGACUGGAGCCCCUCUGACCUCUGAUGUGGUUUUGGAUGAAACAUGGUAUUCGGAUCCACUUUUUUGUGAGAAGGACAAGGCAUGUAUAAAUGUUCCCGUGUUAUCUUUCUUUGAGUUUUGCAUUUUACUUCUCGUUAAUUUAUUAUAUUUCAAUGUCAGUAGGGAAAAUAAUCUGAUCUUGUUAGGUUAGCAUGAACUGCAAGGUCAUAUGAACUUCUUUGUUUCUUUGUUCAGCAAUGGUAUUUGCUCUCAAAAACUUUAGCCGAGGAGACUGCCUGGAAAUUUGCUAAAGGAAAUGGGAUUGACUUGGUGUCGUUGAAUCCAGGGUUAACCAUUGGUCCGCUCUUACAACCAACACUUAAUUUCUCCGUCGAGCUGCUUCGGAACUUCAUGAGUGGUAUUUUCAGUUACUCAAUUACUUCUUGGGUUAAUAGCUAGUAAAACAUCAUCAACCAGUCCCUUCGUGUUUAAACAGUUGUCCUUGACUUGUGAUGCAAGCAAUUGAUUGUGUUUUGUUUCUCCUUCUUGCUCAGGUACCCCAACAACUUUCAGUAAUCCAUUCGUUGACGUUAGAGAUGUUGCCUCUGCUCAUAUUCAGGCUUUCGAAAUUCCUUCAGCUAGUGGGAGAUAUUGUUUAGUUGGUCAAGUUGCUGACGACCUUGAUACUCUAAAGAUUUUACGGCAACUUUACCCGACUUUGACCCUUAAUGAAGUUGUCAAUCCCUCCGACUCAAAGUAUAAAGUGUCCAAGGAGAAAGCAGAAGGUUUGGGAAUCACUUUCCUUCCUCUGGAAACAAGUCUGAGGGACACUAUUGAAAGCCUCAAGGAGAAGGGCUUCCUCAAGAUUUAAACGCCUCAGUCUUCCUGCCGCAUGUUAAUCAUGUGUAAAAAUCACACUAAAUAAAAGGUUCAACCUUUAUAUAAGGAUUGAACACAUAUGCAACCUCUAGUGAUGCUUUCAAGUAUGAACAAUAAAAUGUAAUGUAAUCCUUGGUCUUGGUGGCACUUUAAACUCAAUAAUUUCAUUAUGAAUAGUAUGUUAACCCAUUGAAUUGGUGUCUUGAAAAGAUGUCAACUCUGACUCUCCCACUCCAGUUGUCACUUUUCUUUUUGUUAAUUAAUAGGUCUCCAAAUAUUUUGCUCAUGUUUAAUCUUUUUUGCUUAUAACAAAGGCACUUUGACAAGAACUCAAACCUCAUUUGCUCGAACUAUUUGGUGAACAUUGCCAACGUAAUAUUUGUAGAAAUUUCUCCCUCUUGUUCUUUGGACUGCACCUUAAGUGUUUGAUGAAAGACCAAUUCAAAAUUUUCUUCUUUUUUCUCCCUUUGAAAUUUUCAUGGACUUGUUUUCCAAUAUUUAAAUAAAGACAUAAAAUUUAGUCAAACAUUCAUAGCACACAAUGAAUUGCCAUAAAAUAAUUAUUCAGAGCUGAAGAAGACUGAAGCUGCCUUAUUUGACCUUAACGUCCAGAUGACUUUUCACCACAAAAAACAAAAACUGAACCAAACCAAAGCUUAUUAACUCGAUUUUGAGAGAGAGAGAGAGAGAGAGAGAGAGAGAGAGAGAGAGAUAGGGAUGAGUACUAGAGAAACAAAGACUCUGUGUGUGACAGGAGCAUCUGGUUACAUAGCAUCAUGGCUCGUGAUGACACGCCUCGAUCUCGAUAUUCUCCGAACACCAAAAUAGACAUGUGCUGGCUGACACUCGAGGGUGAUGAAAACCAUUUAUUGAAUGCAAAUGCUGAAAACAAGAAAUAAAUAGGAAUUAUAAAUUUAAAUAUAAUUAAAAUGCAAAUGAGGAACGUAUUCAGAGCAUACAACUAACUAGAAUACUAAAAAGAAAUAAUAUAAAAUUGAAUGAAUAAGAGGAUGGGUCCUACACCUAGAGGACUCGAAGAUGCCGAUGCGGAAAUGCUUGGACGCUGAGAUUGUAUGCCUCGAUUCUAAGUCUUGAAGGGGGCGCAAAACAAACAUGAGUAGACCAAAUUGAUAUAGAUAUAAUAAAAUAGUUAUCAACAUACUAACCCUCAAAGUUUAGUGAAAACUCAUAUAGCAUGAUAAAUAAAAUAGGUUUUCCGAAACCUAGCAUGCCGUGCAAUGUCUAAAAACAUAUCUCGUAUAUAUAGUAAUCGCUAGUGAAUGUCCAAUCUCACUCCAAACCCCGUGCCAGCUUCCCGUCCCUGUGCCAAUUGCUAAAGGAAAAUCACCUUCAGACCCCGUGCUAGCUUCCUGUGUCUCUUACCCCGUAGCUAGAGAUUAUUUCUUCAGGCUCUAUGCCAACACUGUAACCUCGCCCGUGAAGGAAUCUAUCCCUCGCCCCGUAGCAGAAUAGAGACCACUAGUUAAGUACAAAACCAUUGAACAUACAUAUAUUUGAAAAGCAACUUCGUAGUAUAAGGUCAUCCAUCAUCUAUACUAUAAAGAGGUGUUCGAAACAUGUUCUAAAUAUUAUAUCGUCAUCCAUUAGAUAUUCUAUAAAGAAUACGGGUUAUAAGAAAAAUAGUAAUAAUUCAAACUAGCCUCAAUAAGCAUGUUAUCUUAUAAAACAUAAUCAUUAAAUCAUGGUUUUCAAGUAUGCAUUUCUACUAUUAAAACAUGCAUUUUUAGAAGGGGUCCACUCACAAAUACUUUGCCGUCAAAGAGCCAUGCAAACUAGCGAAGAUGAAAUUGCCACAAUAUAUGCACCUAAGCACAUAAAAGGUCCAUUUAAUAAAACUAUAUUAAAACAAUUGAAUUUGGGAAAACGGACGUCAAAAACGGAUUCAAGAUGUCGAAUUAUCCUAAAAAAGGGUCCGGGGUAACUUUCUAAAAAGUCAACAGGGGAAUAUUCCAGGAAUAUUCUUGGAAGGUUCCAAAUGGAUCUGUGCUGGUAGGUUUGGGCUGAAAGCCUUAUGGGCACAAAGGCCUGGUUUCAAAGGGUUGGAUCCCUUUAGGGCUUAGUGUUUGGACCUUAAAGGGUAUUGGGUUAGAUUUAGGUGGGUUGGACUUAAAGGGUUUGGGUUUAGUUUCAAACAAAUAAAAUAAAUAAAUAAAUAAAAGGGGUUCGGGCUUUAGAGGUCACGGGCCUAAGGCUCGAGUUUUAAAUGGCCCAAAGGCCUAAGUGACAAAGGGUUAAGGGUUUAGGCUAAAAAGGUUGGGCCUAAAUUCAGAUUUAGGUUUGGGUUUAAAAAGGUUUUGGGUUUGAAAGGUUAUGGGGUUAGGCUGCCCAAAAGGGCUGGGUUCCAAGGGUUUUUUGAUGGGUUGGGUUGGAAGGCAGCUAGGCUUGGGUCUGGCCUGCUGGGUUGGGUUUAGAGUUUUAGGGUUAAUGGGUUUAGGCUUUAGGCUAAUGGCUUUGGGUUUCAUUUGCUUGGGCUUAGGGAAUUGGGUUUAGGUUGGGCUCAGCUUUGGUUUGGGCUGCGCUACCUUAGGCCAGUUCUUUGGCUCGUUUGUUAUGUGGGUCACCGGAACCAAUUAUAGCAGAAGGCCGGAUUUCGGCCGGGAGAUUGAACAAACUUUGAACGUUCAUAACUUUGUCAAUACCCAACGAAAUCAAGUGAUUCAAAAAUAAAAAUCAUAGUUCUCGAUGAGACAAAGAGAAUGGUACCUCGUAUGACGUCUAAUUCGCCGUGGUUUGGCCAGAAAAUGCCUUGAAAUCCGCGGAGGUCGCCGAAAACUAGGUAAGAUUCAAAUACAUAUAACUUCUUCAAUACUUAACGAAAUUGGGUGAAACAAAACAGAACACUUACUCUCACUAGAUGGAGCAAAAGAAAGGUUCAUUUGUUCAAAGAAGAUUUACUACAAGAAGGAUCUUUCGAUGCUGCAGUUGAUGGAUGUGUUGGUGUUUUUCAUAUAGCAUCUCCUGCUCAAUUUUCAGUCACUGACCCACAAGUUUGUCCUUUCACUUCAUGCUUCAAAUAUUCCAACAUGUGUUGUUAGAAAAUCGAUAUACUUUCAACAAUUAUAUAGAAACCAGCCUGAUAUUUUUCUUCUUCCAUAUUUCAGGCUGAAUUAAUCGAGCCUGCAGUUAAAGGAACACUUAAUGUUCUAAAAUCAUGCGUGAAAUUCCCCGCUGUUAAGAGAGUGGUUAUAACAUCUUCUAUGGCUGCAGUAAUGAUGACUGGAAAACCUCUGACCUCUGAUGUGGUUCUGGACGAAACAUACUAUUUGGAUCCACUUUUUUUUGUGAGAAGAUCAAAGUAUGUUUGUGUACGUUCCCGUUAUAUUUAUAAUAUUGAAUAUAAAGGUAAGCAUAACACAAGACAAUGCAGUACAUGAUGAUGACUACAAACCCAUACGAACUCCCUUCUUCAUUUGUUCAGCAAUGGUAUCGUCUCUAAAAAACUUUAGCUGAGAAGGCUGCCUGGAAAUUUGCUGAAGGAAAUGCGAUUGACUUGGUUACAAUACAUCUAGGGUUUGCAAUUGGUCCACUAUUAUGGCCAACUCUUAAUCUCUCCAUCAAGUUUCUUCAGAAUCUCAUGAGUGGUACAAUUCAUCCCCUUUGUGUUUAAUAAUAUUCUUUGUGAUGCCAGCUAUAAAUUGUGUUUUGUUUCUCUUUCAUGAUCAGGGACCGAAACACCGUUUAUAAACUACCCAUUCGUAGACGUUAGAGAUAUUUCCUCUGCUUAUAUUCAAGCGUUUGAAGUUCCUUCAGCUAAAGGUAGAUAUUGUUUAGUUGCCCAAGUUGCUGACGGACCUGAUACUCACAAGAUUUUGCAACAACUUUACCCCACAUUGUGCCUUCGGAGUUCGGCAAUCUUUGUGACUCGAAGUUUCAAGUGUCCAUAGAGAAAGCAAGAGGUUUGGGAAUCACUUUCCUCUGGAAACGAGUCUCAGAGACACAGUUGAAAGUCUCAAGGAGAAGAGCUUCCUCAACAUUUGAAUUCUACUGCUUGCAGCAAUUUGUUACAAUAGAAUUUUACGCUUAAUUUUCAUGUAUUGCAUAAUUGGGAAUAUAAUACAUACAAUCCUUGUUCUCCAAGGUAAACCAAAAAAGGACAUCAGAAAUAUCCUUCCUAAUAAAGGUGUCACGCCCCGAUCCCGACAUACGUCCAGAAUCGACACAUGACGUCACCAAAUACCCGUAUCUCUAACAUACUUUGCCUCCGGAAUAUGGCAAAUCACAACUCGAGAAUCGAAUCGCAUAGUAAUUUUUCGUAUACUUUAUGGCUGCAUCUAACCUCCUCGUUAGACUGCCUACGUACCCUCAUUAGGGAUCAAACCAUUCGUUGUUCGUCAUUUCACUUCAAUCGAACAUUCAACACAUAGACCACUAUGUCUCAACAUAAUACCACAAUUCAAUCAUGUAGCACCUCAAGGAACAUUUAACAAAUCACAAUAAUAAUUUUUAGUCAUCUCGUCAUUCAUCCACCUAUAAGCGUUCCAACACCAUCCAAUUAUCACAUCAAUAAAUAAAACUUGACAAGCAUAAAAUUCCUAGACUCAAGGUAACAUAACAAACCCACAUGAAAAAAAUCAAGAUUUCCCUUCCAUCCUUCAUAUAAACCAUUCUCUAGCCACAUUAAUUAACUAAUAUGGUCAAAAUAAUAACAAUCAUCCCCAUAUCUUCUAAAUUCAUAAACUAUGAAAUCAUAAUUGAAUCGUAGAAAAUCUCGAAGGAAUCCCACAGACGUACAACCGCUUUUAUAAUUCAAUUCACAAUAUUCUCAAAACCAUUAUUCACAAUAUACUAAAACGAAGGCUAGAGUGACACAAUCAAGCCAAACCUACUUCUCCGAAUAAUGGGAUUUCAGACUACUCAACGAUAUCCAACCCAGGAUACGAUUCCGGACCAUCACUCAAUGGAAUUGUGGAGUAUAAAGGAUUCCGGACCAUCACUCAACAUAAUCGCGGAGUAGAAGGGAUUCCGGACCAUCCCUCAAUGGAAUUCGAGUGGAUACGAUUCUGGACCAUCACUCAACGGAAUCGCGGAAGGCCAACACCAUAAUGUACGACGACUCAAAGAAAUGAGACAAGCACAUGCUACUUAAUUUAUAAAAGCUCAACAAAGGGAAAUUAGGCACAAUUACUAAAUUUAGAACUAAUCAACGAAGUGGGAAAUGAAACAAUAUCGAAGCCACAAAUCCCCAUCACAAUGGUUAAUGGUCCACUCCUAGCCUCACAUUUCAUCACAACAUACCAAUCAUACAAAUCAACCCAUAUUUCAAUUAUACACGUCAAAUCUCACUUCUUGAACAUAAAUUGAUGGCUAAGUAUUAAAAAUAACAAUUCAAUAAAAAAACAUAUUUAUAAAACCAAGACAUAUCCUCACAAGAUAAUAAUUAUGAAAACAUGGGUAAUCACCAAUAUAACAUAUAUUAAAGUCACUCACAUUUCUCCACAUCACACUAAUCCCUAUGAAUUAACGUAGUCUCCUACACCAUCAACUUCUCAUGGCCACCAACUAAUAUAUCACACAAGCAUAUAAGUUCUACAGAAUAUUUCAAAUAGGAUUAUAAGAUCACAUAGCCAUAAAUUUAUCAUACUUAUCAUUCACAUUACUAGAAAUAAUUAAACAUCCAUAUAUCACCAUUAUCAUCAAUACACAAGCCAAAUCAUGUUUAAUAAACAUAAGUCUAUGGCUAAAUAUAUGAAAAUCACAUUUCAAUAGAAAUCAUAUUUAUAAGUCCAAUGCACAGUUACAAAUGACAUUAACAUAAGAAAUUAAGGUAAUAACCAUAUCACAAUAUUCAAGUCACUCUCCAACCAAUAUAGGUCCACUAGACUUCACUUAAGUCUCCCGUAUUACUAAUUUUAGUAUUUGGAACGUUUCGAGACAUAUUGACCAAAAGUCAACUCUCGGUCAAAGGUAGGGUCCACAAUUCUACACAAUUCAAUUCGGAAGAUCCACACAUUGGAUUUUGGAUCCGUAACCUUCUAAGGUCCACAUUAUGUUUCUUAAACAACCUGCCAAAAUUUCAUCAUGAUUUGACGGUCGAAUCUUCGCUAAUUACAAAUUCAAGUGGUUGCCAACGCUUGAUUUUACAAACUUAGAAAUCCAAUUCAGGAAGAUCCAUACGUCGGAUUCCUAAUCUGUCAAUUCAAGCUAUCCUCAAAUAUUACAUUCUAUAACGCAUUAAAGUUUGGUGACGAUCCAACGGUUAGAUCGUUGAUUCGUAUAAAGGUCAAGUGAUGUAUCGUAAUGAAACUAAGUUCAAACAAUCAAACCACAUCAUACAGAUAUCAAUUAUGAAAUCAGGGCAUCUAAUUGAACUUAAAAGAACAUUGUCGGCCCACUAGUUAGGCCGCCGCCGCGGGUGGUGGUCGGCCGCCCCGACUUGCCGGAAAAAUUCAACUAUUUUUAAAAAUUACCAAAAUUUACAGAAAUGAAGAUCUUCAUGAGUAGAGCAAGUUUUAUACCUGUGGCCAAGUCCAAUUUGGUGGGUAAAAGCCCCAAUUUUGUCCAUACCCGCAGGAACCCUAGAAAUUUGGGUGACUUUGAUUCGGCUUCUCCAGUACUCCACCGCCCCUAUAGUUGUUUGGGCUUUAUUCCAGACCUCAAGAAGAGGCUAUAAAUGGUGGUAAUCGAAGAAAUUUGUUUCAAAUUUGGGGAAUCGUCCUCUAUGAACCCGCACACCCAUCGAUGUGAUUUUCCCAAUUUCAAGGUUAUUUUGCAUGGAAUUUAGGAUAGAAUAGGUAGAGGGGAAAAUGAGAAAUGAUUUCAAAGUGAUGAGAAACUUCAACUCGCUGGAAAUUUUCCGGGAGACCACCCAAUUCCAAUGGCUUUGGCCGUUGGUUUUGCACGGGUUCAGUGACCCGUUUCUCUCCCCCCUCAUUUUCUUGAUUCAUUUCCCCCAUUUCCUCUUUUCUGCCACACGGCAGUUUCAAAUUUUCUUCUUCUUUUUUUUUUUGAAGAAACUUCUAAAACAUCCGUAACGUUCCUUUCUUUUUCCGAUUCACAUAUGGCUUUCGCUUAAGCGCUUGUGAGGUCGAGCCCAAUUUAAAAACAUUAAGAGUGACCCUCGAAGGUCUACGAAUUUAAUAAUUAUUUUAAAAAAUUAAAACUUUGUAAUUAGGUAAUUAAAAUCUAGAAUUAAUUUAAAUUCAUGAAAAUACUAUAAAUCCCGCCCAAACGAAAUACGUAGAUUACAAUAGUGAAAUUUAGGAACGGGAUUUCACAAAAGGACUCUAAUAUUUACAAAAUAUUUACAUUCCUAUUCUAAAACCAACUCAUGCAACACUCCCCCUAAAGCUGAAGCUUAGAUGUCGCACAUGCCCAAUUUGACAGGUGAGUUACCAAAAACUCUACUACACACGGCAUGAGUGAGGAUAUUGGCAAGCUGCUCUUCUGAGUUCACAAAUGGUACUGACACAAUCUUAUUCUCAAGCUUUUCCUUAAUGAAAUGUCAAUUAACCUCCACAUGCUUUGUUCUGUCAUGUUGUACCUGGUUCUCUGCAAUUUCUUGUGCCGACUUAUUGUCACAAUACAACUUUAUAGCCUCAUUUGGUUUGAAACCAAGACCCCAAAGCAACUUACGUAACCAAAGAACUUCACACACUUCAUGUGCUAUACCUUUGAAUUCAGCCUCCGCUGAAGACCUAGACACCACAUUCUAUUUCUUACUUCUCCAAGUAAACUAAUUUCCACCAACGAACGUAAAAUAUCCAGAAGUAGAACGCCUAUCAGUCACAUCACCAGCCCAAUCAUCAUCAGUGAACCCCUCAAUUUUUAGAUGACCAGAAUUUCUAUACAAGAUUCCUUUCCCUGGGGCCGACUUUAAAUACACCAAGAUACGCAUAACAGCAGCCAUAUGAUCCACACUUGGUGAGUGCAUAAAUUGACUCACCACACUCACUGCAUAGGCUAUAUCUGGACGGGUAUGAUCUAAAUAAAUUAGUCUUCUUACCAGCCUCUGAUAUCUGCCUUUAUCCACUGGUUCUUGAUCUGGAUAAAUCCUUAAGUGAUGUUUCUCCACAAUAGGCGUAUCCACAGGUUUACACCCAAGCAUACCUGUUUCCUUUAAUAAAUCAAGAACAUAGUUCCUUUGAGACAUGAAAAUACCUUUGGACGAACGAGCAACCUCAACUCCCAGAAAAUACUUUAAGUCAACCCAAACUCUUCAUCUCGAACUCGGCCGCAAGGUUAUUCUCCUGUUUGACAAUCUCAUCUGAAUCAUCCCCUGUUAUUAUCAUAACAUCCACAUAAAUAAUUAAGGUUGUUAGUUUACCAAUCCUCCAUUUCACAAAUAGAGUAUGAUCAGAAUGACUCUGAUAAUACCCAUUCUUUCUCAUGGUCUGAGUGAAUCUUCCAAACCAUGCACAAGGUGACUGCUUUAGCCUAUAAAGAGACUUCCGCAAUCGGCACACUCCUUUAUUUCCUCCAUUAUCAUAUCCGGGAGGAAAAUCCAUGUACACUUCCUCCUCUAAAUGUCCAUGAAGAAACGCAUUUUUACAUCAAACUGUUUCAAUGGCCAAUUCAAAUUCGUAGCCAAUGAGAUAAGAACUCGUACCGUGUUCAUCUUAGCUAAUGGAGAAAAAGUUUCCUGGUAAUCAACACUAUACAUUUGAGUAUAUCCUUUUGCUACCAAUCACGCCUUAUAUCUGUCGAGUGAACCGUCAGCUUUGUAUUAAUUGUAAAAACCCAUUGGCACCCAACUGGCUUCUUUUGGCACUUGAAUUGACUCCACAUUGUUCACCCAAGCUUGAUGUUCAGGUGAAAGGUUUUCACACGACACAUAAUUUGCUAUGAGAUACUUUCCUUUUCUUUCUGGAGAGAACUUGUCAGGAGGUACACCAUGAUUUUGCCUUGGUGGCAGUUUAUAUGUACUUAUAACAUCAUUAGUUACAUGAGUAUCACUAUCACUUACCUCAAGGAUAUUAAGAGAAGACGUAUUGGAUGAUGGCACUAUCGAGCUAGAGAGAAGAGGGAAGCUUCGGUACAAAUCUCAUGGCUGCUAGCUUCGGUAGAUGUUUGUGGUGAGGCUGGCUUGGCCUGGGUAGCAGGUGGCUGAACAUCACCUACAACACAGGGGUUCUCGGUACAAGUUUCCUCAGCUGCAAUCAGUGGCUGCCCAUCUAUAUCACCUUCGGCAGGAAGCUGCUGAGACCCUGCUUCCUCCCUUGGUACCGUAUUGUCAUCUCCUGCUUCCUCCCUUGGCAUGGUAUUGUCAUCUCCCCCUGAAGGAUGCACGUCUUGGACAUCUAACCACCCAAACACACCAUCAAGAUCACAAAUAACACUCUCCCCAUUGGGAUCAGAAUGUGGGAAUACAAGAGUAUAAAAAUACUCAGAUUCAGAGAAAGUCACAUUCAUGGUGACGUACAUGUGGCGGGUUUCAGGGUGAUAGCAUUUAUAACCUUUCUGUUUGGAUGCAAAGCCAAGAAAAAUACACUGAAGAGCACAAGGAUCCAAUUUACUACGAUGAAUCUUGUGGAUAUGAACGUAAGCAAUGCAACCAAACACUUGAGGAGUAAGAGUGUUGGUAGAGACAACCGGAACAUGUUAUGUUAGAACUUGGAGUGGAGUACGAAAUCCUACAACCUGAGAUGGCAUGCAAUUAAUGACAUACACAACAUACGUAACGGCGUCCGGCCAAAAACUCUUAGGUACGGAUGCGCCAAUAAGCAAUGCACGAGCAGUUUCCAAAAUAUGACGGUUCUUCCUUUCGGCCACCCCAUUUUGUUGCGGGGUAUAAGGACAAGUGGUCUCAUGGAGAAUUCCUUGAUCUCGAAAAAAAGAAGAAAGCUCAGAGUUAACAUAUUCACCCCCGUUAUCAGAACGAAGAACUUGAAUAACGGAGGAAUAUUGUGUAGCCACUAGCUGAGAGAAAUACCGAAUAAUCAUACUAACAUCACUUUUAUGUUUCAACAGAUAAACCCAUGUCAUACGAGUGCAAUCAUUAACAAAUGUAAUAAACCAUUUAAUUGCCGAAGUAGUACUAAUGGGGGAAGGCCUUCACACAUCAGAGUGUACUAGCGCAAAUGAAGAAGAUGUUCUAUUCAUACUAAGAGGGAAUAAAGCAUGAUGACUUUUGGCUAGAAUACAUACUUCACAUUUCAAUUUUGAGUCUUCAAUACCACUGAACAUAUUAGGUAAUAUAUGUUUCAAAUAAUCAAACAAUGCAUGCCCCAAACAAUGAUGCAAUAACAAUACAUUCUAUAGAUUACUAUUACGUGAUACACGAACCAAAUUAGCUCUUCCAGGAACCACGUCAUCCACAUAAUAUAGCUCAUCUCUCUUAGUGUCACGCCCAAUGAUCUCCUUUGUCUGAAUAUCCUGAAGCAAGCAAAAUGAAGGAUACAUUAAUACAAUACAAUCCAAUUGUUCAGUGACUUGAGGCACAUACAAUAAGUGAUGGGACAAUGAUGGAACCAAUAAACAAUUAUGUAAGGGGAGAGAGGGUGUAAGAGACACUGUUCCCGCUCCAACAAUAGCAGCAGUAGAACCAUUGGCAAUUGCCACACACUUUCUAUAAGGACGUGUCAUAGAUUGAAAUAAGGUUUUAUCAUACGUCAUAUGAUCCAUUGCAUUAGCAUCCAAAAUCCAACCUGCAUUUGUCAUUGUAUUAACUCACGAGACACAACUGUAAUUAGACAGCAAACAACACCAAUUUUUUUUUCUUUUUUGUUUUUUUUCAACAACAGCGGCAAAUCACGACUCGGCACAACCAGCAACUGCUAAAGUACAACAAUUACUACGAGAACACACACUGAUACACGGGCAGAAUUUGCGAUAGUACUUGCAGACACACACACGCAGCAGGAUCAUAACCGUGCAGGUAAUUACGGUCAGAGUUAGAAUCGCACAAGACUCAAGCACAACCAGGCACUGGUACAACACGCACGACACAUUUUGUACUUUGAAGCAGCAGUCCACACGGCACAACAAGAUCACACACGGUGCAGCCUGACUUAUUGUUGCAAGAAUUGUAGGAAUAUGUCAAGACCACGCACAGCAAAAAACAGCACACCCACGGGGAUACUUCAGCACAUCAAUACUCCUACUCACACACGGCAAUAUCACACACACACAGUCUGACAUUCUGCAAGGGAAUUGCAGAAAAAACAGUCGGUCGUGCACAACAGCGAAAGAAAAAUAUUCUUACGGCAACCUAGGCUUGGAUGCCAAAUAGAAUUUUACAGCUUAAUUUUCAUGUAUUGCAUAAUUGAGAAUAUAAUACAUACAAUCCUUGUUCUCCAAGAUAAACAAAAAAAGGACAUCAGAAAUAUCCUUCCUAAUAAAUGACUCUAAUAUUUACACAAUAUUUAUAUUCCUAUUCUAAAACCAACUCACGCAACAGUUACAUGAGUACUCGAUCAACUAAUUGGGAAGUGAAGUUGGUUUAUGCUGAAGUAUCCCAAUAGAUGCUGAGCAUUAUAUUUUUCCCGUAAAAUACUUUAAAUGUAUUCCGUAGGCAAAUGCUCAGAAGUUGCUUUUAGAUCUUUAAUUAAUUUAUUGUCACGCUCCGAUCCCGACAUAUGUCCGGGAUCGACACGUGACGUUACAAAAUACCCGUAACACUCACAUACCCCGCCUCUGGGAUAUGGACAAUGCACAACUCAAGAUUCGAAUUUCAUGAUAAUUUUUCUUAUACUUUAUGGCUGCAUCUAACCUUCUCGUUAGACUGCCUACGUACCCUCAAAAAGGAUCAAGCCAUUCGUAGUUCACCAAUCGUCAACUCUAAUCUUUUCGUAAAAUACUUCUAACAGAAAAUCAUAAUGCACCAUAUUACACAUCAAUCUUACGUCAAACAACAAUUAUCAUCUUCCCUACACGUAUGUAACCCGUUCUCACACAUAUACUUUCCAAUUCAUCCAUCAUAUGAAUCACUCUGUUUCACAGAAUACCGCAAAUCAUAGUAUGUAACAUAUCAAGAACCAACGAAAAUUUAACCAAGGAACUCUAACAACUCCGAAGGAGUCACCCAGACAUCCAACGGUUCGUCUGAAACAAAUCACAGCAGCUCAUAAUCAUAAUCUCAUACAACACCAUGAAAAGUUGGGUUAGAGUUACACAGUUCGGCCGAAGCCUACAUCUCUGAAGCUGAAAACAAAUCCGAGGGACCAAGACACCAAAGGGAUUUCGGACCAUCACUCAACAAAAUCCACACUAGGCUACGAUUCCGGACCAUCACUCAACGGAAUCGCGGAGACAGAAUCGCGGAGUAGAAGGGAUUCCGGACCAUCACUCAACGGAAUCCAAACUGGAAUACAAUUCCAGACCAUCACUCAACGGAAUCACAGAGUAGAAGGGAUUCCAGACCAUCACUCAACGGAAUCAUAGAAUAGAAGAGAUUCCAGACCAUCACUCAACGGAAUCCAAGCAAGCAUAUGGUACCUACCAAAUGUACCAGGUAUAUCUAAACCUCAUCAUCUCCAUAAUUACAACGCAGUGACUUACCACAUUCACUUCUCAUGGCCACCAACUAAUAUGUCACACAAGCAUAUAAGUUCUAUAGAAUACUUCUAAUAGGAAUAUACAAUCACAUUGUCACCACAUUUAUCGGACUUACCCUUCACAUUACUAAAAGAUAAUGAAACGCACAUAUAUCACAAUCAUCACUCGUACACAAGCCAAUUCAUAUUUAAUUAGCAUAGGUCUAUGGCUAAAUAUAUAAAUUUCACAUUUCAAUAGAAAUCAUAUUUAUAAGACCAAUUCAUAUUCAUAAAUGAUACUAAUAUAAGAAAUUAAGAUAAUAAUCAUAUUUCAUAUAUUCAAGUCGCUAUCUAACCAAUGUAGGCUCACUAGACUUCACUUAGUCCCCCGUAGUACUAAUUUUAGUGAUUAGGACGUUUCGAGACAUGGUGAUCAAAAGUCAAUUUCCGGUCAAAGGUAGGGUCCACAAUUCUACACAAUUCAAUCCGGAAGAUCCACAUAUUGGAUUUCGGAUCCGUAACUUUUCAAGGUCCACAUUAUGCUCAUAUAACAACAUACUAAAAUCUCAACACGAUCCGACGGUCGGAUCUCCGCCAAUUUCAAAAUUCAAGUGGCGAGCGACAUUUAAUUUUACAACUUAGAAAUCCAAUUAGCGAAGAUCCGUACGUCGGAUUCUCGAUCCGUAAGUUUCUAUGAUCCAAAAAUAUUAUGUUCUAUCACGCAUUAAGGUUUGGUGACGAUUCAACGGUCGGAUCGUCAAAUCAUAUUUUGACCUAACUACGUAUCGUAAUGAAAUUAGGUUCAAACAAUCAAACCAUAUCAUAAGGAUGUCAAUUAUGAAAUUAGGGCAUCUAAUUGAACUUAAAAGGACAUCGUCGGCCCACUGGCCAGGCCGCCGCCGCGGGUGGCGGUUGGCCUCCCUGACUUGCCGGAAAAUUCAACUAUUUUUAAAACUUACCAAAAAUUACAGAAAUUAAGACCUCAAAGAGUAGAGAAAAAUUUAUACCUGUGGCCAAGUCCAAUUUGGCCGGGAAACACCUCAAUUUUACUCAAACCCGCCGAAAUCCUAGAAAAGGGCGUGCUUUGAUUCGGCUUCCAAUCGAACUCCGACGCCUCCAAAACUGCUUGGGCUUUGUUCCUGGGGUUAAGGGAAGUCUUUUGGUGGUGUUCAUGGAUGUGAAACUUGCCGGAGCCACCGGGAAAAGGGAUAAAGCCGCCGGAACACCCGUGGGUUUGUGGCUUCAAACUGGAAAAAAGGGAAAGAAAUUGGGAAAUCUAACACCACCAGGAUGUAGGGCUCGCCAAGGGCUUUCCAUGGACACCAAGAUCACCCAAAACGGAGUUCGGAUGAGGGAGAUACGGCCGGGUCAAAUUUGAAGGUUCACGGGUCGAAAACGACCCAACUCGGGUCUCUCCUUUCCCUUCUUGCUUCCCCUCCUGAUUGGUCUCCUCCUCCUGCCAUUUUCUCUCCCGCACUCUCUCCUUUCUCCCCUCUCCCUUGCUGCCACAUGGCAGCUUCUAAGCAUUUUUUAUUUAUUUAUUUAUUUCCCAACCACUAAAACGUUUCUAAUUUCUUCGUUAUAACUCCAUUUCUUCGAUCUCUAUUCAAAAAUAUAACUUGUGACCUCGAAUGGUCUACUUAUUUUAAAUAAUUAAUUUUCCAAACUUCAAACUUCGAAACUAAUUUAAUUAAAAUCUAAUUUCAAACAAAUUAAAAUAAAUUCUUGAAAAACAAUCUAAAAUCUCAAUAAUACAAAUACGUAUAUUAUAACAGUGAAAUCCAGGAAUGAGAUUUCACAUUUAUAGCCCAUGUGUUAUUUGUAAUAUUUCAAUUUAACUCUAAAUGACAAAUUUCAAGUUGAAAUUGUUUCUUUUUCCUUGGGUAAAUUACAUUUUCAUACCUCAUGUUUGUGGCCUAUUUCAAUUCCUUACAACAUUUUCAAAACAUUUCACUUUCAUACCUUAAGUACUAUUUUAUUUCAAAAUAAUACAUCCGUUAUAUUUUCCAUCCAUGGAUCCUUUAAGUGAUGACGUGGCUGCCAAAUAUGUGCCACGUGGCAAAAAUAAGUAAUUUUUAAAACCUGAAUUUUCAAAAAAAAAAAAGAAGCCCAUCCCCGACCUACCCCCUUCUCCCAUCCAUCAUCACCCACCCCAAAAUCCCACUCAAGCAACCCCUUUCUCCCAUCCCCCAUCACCCCUCCCAAAAAUCCCCCAUCACCCACCCUAGAAAAUCCCACCCGAGAUUAGGAGGAUCUACCACAAAACCAGUCCAAAAAUUAUCUCAAACUCAAAAUCCCCAAGAUGAAUCUACCACAAAACCACCCGAGAUUAGGUGUGAUUCGGGGUCUCUUUGCAAGGGAGGUGGGUUUGUGGGGUCCCCGGGGGGGGGGGGGGCGGGAGGGGGGAUGAACUGGGUUGCAGUUUUUUUUUUUCUUCUUCUUCCUCUUGUUGUUGUUGUUGCAGGUGAGGAACUUGGGGGGGGGGGACGAACUGGAUUGCAUUUUUUUUUUUCCUUUUGUUGUUGUUGUUGUUGCAGGUGGGGAACUGGCCCGGGGGGGGGGGGUGGGACGAACUGUGUAGUAGUUUUUUUUUUUCUCUUCCUCUUCCUCUUCUUCUUCUUGUUGUUGCAGGUGGGAAACUUUUUGGAGAGAGGGGGAAGGGGGACGACGAACUCGGUGUUGCAGUUUGUUUUUUUUUUCUUUUCUUCUUUUCUUCUUCUUGCAGGUGGGGAAAUGGGUUUGGGUUUUAUUUUUAUUUUUUUUCGGGAGACGAAAUGGGUUGCAGUUUUUUUUUCUCUCUCUUCUUCUUCUUCUUGCAAGUGGGGAACUGGAUUUGGGUUUUUUUUUCCUCCCUCUUCCUCUUCUUCUUCUUCUUCUUCUUCUUCUUCUUCUUCUUCUUCCUAUUGCAGGUUUUUGGGUUCUUCAAGGAUGUGGGUUGCUGGGGGGGGGGGGGAGGAUAAUGGGUUUUUUUUUUUUUUUUUUGUUGAGAAAAUUCAAGUUUUAAAAAAAAUUAAAUUUUUUUUUUGCCACAUGGCACAUAUUUGGCAACCACGUGGCAUAUAUGUGGCAGGCACAUCAGCACUUAAUGGAUCCAUGGAUGGAAAAUGUAACGGAUGUAUUAUUUUGAAAUAAAAUAGUACUUAAGGUUUGAAAGUGAAAUGUUUUAAAGAUGUUGUAAGGAAUUGAAAUAGACCCCAAACCUGAGGUAUGAAAAUGUAAUUUACCCUUUUCCUUUUGUUUGCCUAUUUGUUAUUUGUUCCACGGACAAUCUUGCAUAUAUUUGGUUGACGCUUUCCGACAACAUCUGUUAGCUAUCCCACACCACAUCGGUGGGCUAAAAGAAAAAUAAGGACUUUAAAUAGGCUUACCCUACUCUAACUAACAUUGAGAUUUUUUUGUGAUAAGACCUCUAAUUACCAAGUUGGUGAUUACUAUCGGUGUUAUUAGAAUGGGUCUCUCGGGGCUGUAUCAUCGUUCUUCAAUAUGUGAUUACCUUCACAAAUAUAUUUUUUAUUUUCUUUAUUUAUGUUUUUUUGGCCUUGUUCUCACAUGUCAUUAUUUCUCAAAUAAAAUAUAAUUCAAAUAAAUAUUUGGGAGGUAGAGAAUAAAUGUAAGAGAUUGUUGUAAAAAUAAAUAUUGAGUUGUGGCGUAAAAAAUGAAGAAUAUUGAGUUAUAUAAAACCACUUUUAGUAAUUUCUUGAAUUUUUUAUUAUUAGAAUAAUCUUGGCCAUUGAUUUCAACAUUAUAACCAAUGGAACGCCAGGAUUGUGCCACGUCAGGGUUUUUGAACUUUUAUGGCGGCUGGAUGGGCAUAUGCCUUUCCCCCAAUAGGCCUCUCAUUUUUUCAAAGGUGGAGCAAAGUUUCUUUGGGCAAGAAGGCAGUUUUACCCAAUUACAAGCGCAAUUGGGAACUGCUGGAGAUACUCUAAAUGUUCAAAUUGCCCUCACUCACUCUCUAGAAGGAAGGCCAAAGCAGAUUUCUUUGAAUAAUAUGCUAGAUGUAGUUCGGGAUCUUCAAUUGGAAAACUAAAUUGGUAUCGAAUCGUUAUUAACGAGAUUCAAACCAAAGAUCUCUCACGUAAAUAUCACAAGACUGCAGUAUGUGUUAAAGUCUAGAGUGCUAAUUAUACACUCCAAAAAUCGCCUUAAAUUACCUCAUCAUGAACACCUCAAAUGAGUGGUGGAGGAAAGUGCCAAAAAACGAGUGGUGGACCAUGAGUGCCAAAAUGAUCAUCCCAUUAAAAACUAACAAUCAAGCUGAGAGAGAGAGAGAGAGAGAGAGAUGAGUACUGUAGAAGGGAAGACUGUGUGCGUAACAGGAGCCUCAGGUUACAUAGCAUCAUGGCUGGUGAAGCUCUUAUUGCAAAAGGGUUAUACUGUUAAAGGCACUGUUCGUGACCCAAGUCAGUAUUUCUUAACUUGCUCAUAUAUUGUGGUUCUUGGAAUCCAAAACUUUUAUGCAUAAGACAGGACUUGUAGCAGUGCUUUCGUUUGGAUGUCAAGUUUUGUAUGUUAACAAUUUAUAGUUUUGGGUUAGUAAAAAUAAAUUGGUAUACUAACUUAGCAUUUCUGCUUCUCAUUGCUUAAGAAACUAAUUGUAAUUAGAAAGAAAAUGAGACAAUUGGCAUGUAAUUCAGUAGAUUAAAAGCAUUCAUCCUUGCAUCCAGGACCCGUGUUCAAAUCCGCAUCCUCAUAGUUUAAUGUAAAUUUUCCUCUCUUUUGUAAAAAAAAAAAAAAAAAAAAAAAAAAAAAAAAAAAAAAAAAAAAAACUAGAAAUAAAACGAGCCUUUCCCCCUCCCCCCUCUAAUUAGUUUGAAUUGCGGCAUGAAUAUAUGGCCCUACUCUUAAACUAAUUGAUUUUUAAUUUGGAAAUUUUGUUAAAAUAAUACUACCGGUACCAAAAGACGAACAUGUUAAUCUAUUUUUGGGCAACUUAAUUACCCACUUAAAUCUCCCUAGUGCAGUCGAUGUUUGUCAUAUGUGUGCUUAUUUUGUGUUUAAAUUUAAUCAGUUCACUAAUCAUUAUUUCUGUUUGUAUAUGCAUGCAGAUGAUUCAAAGAAAACAGAACACUUGCGCUCAUUAGACGGAGCCAAAGAAAGGCUUCAUUUGUUCAAAGCAGAUUUAUUAGAAGAAGGGUCUUUCUAUAAGAAAUAACUCUUUGUAUUUCAUUACUUAAUGUGUAAGGAUUACAACUCAAUAUAUAUACAAUUCUCUAAUUAAGCUUAGUACCUAAUUAUACUUAAUUAGGUCUCUAAUACAGAGAUUAGUUGCAAAACUGUUACAUUUGAAAAUGACAGCUGUUAGCUAUGACUACUUAUCCCUUUACACCCCCUCAAGCUAAGCGGAGGAGAACCCAGAGAAAGCUUGGACUGAAGAAAGUGAAACCGGGCCUUGGAAAGGGACUUUGUAUGGAUGUCUGCAAUCUGAUGUUCAGUGGAAACAUACAACACUUUGACUAAACCAGCAAGAACAAGCUCUCUAAUGUAGUGAUAAUCGAUCUCCACAUGUUUGUGCGCGCAUGAAACACAAGAUUGGAAGCCAAAGAGAUUGCAGAAACAUUGUCACACCACAGUGUUGGAGUAUGAGAAAGAGGGAAAGUAAUGUCUUUGAAAAUCUUGCAGAUCCAUGUAAGUUCGGCAGCAGUAAGAGCAAGAGAGCGAUACUCGGCCUCGGUUGAAGAGCGGGCAACAGUGGCCUGCUUUUUAGCACUCCAACUGAUAAGAUUGGGACCAAGGUAAACACAAUAACCAGAUGUAGAACGUCUAUAAAAAACACAACCAGCCCAAUCAGCAUCCGAGAAAGCUGUGAGCUGCAGAGAUCCCUUUUUGAACCAGAGGCCUUGAACAACCGAACCCUUGAGAAACCGGAGAAUGCGUUUAACAGCCUGAAAAUGAGUGUCACGAGGGCAAUGAAGAAACUGACAGACUUGGUUCACAGCAAAUGACAAAUCUGGCCUAGUCCAUGUGAGAUAUUGGAGAGCACCAACUAUAGACCGAUACGCCUUUGGAUCAGGCAACAGAGUUCCAAUGUGAUCUAAUUUGGCAGUACCAAGAGGAGUGGCACAAGGCUUGCAGCCUUCCAUUUUUGUCUUAAUAAGAAGAUCCAUAGCAUAUUUGCCUUGAGACAUGAAGAUACCAUCAGAGGAUCGAUGGACUUCAAGACCAAGGAAAUAGUGGAGAGAACCUAAGUCUUUGACAGGAAACAAGGUACUGAGCUUGUGAAUAAAGAGAGCGAUUGAGCUUACAGACAAAAGAAGGCUGAGCAGCAUCAACAAAACCAGGAGGCUGUUGCAUAAACACUUAUUCUUUCAGUGAACCAUGAAGAAACGCAUUACUAAUAUCCAACUGAUUAAGGAACCAGUCAUUGUGGACAGCAAGUGAUAAUAGAAUGCGAAUGGUUACUGGUUUGGCAACAGGGCUGAAAGUUUCUGUAAAAUCAAUAUCGGCCUGCUGGUGAAAUCCUUUGGCUACAAGGCGAGCCUUGUAACGAUCAAUCGAGCCAUCAGGUUUCCUUUUAAUCCGAAACACCCAUUUGCAGCCAACAAGAUUGUGGUGAGGAGAAGAAGGUACCAAUGUCCAAGUACCAGUGUGGCGAAGAGCCUCAAAUUCUUCUGAUGUGGCCUGAACCCAAUGAGCAUGCUUAGAUGCUUGCAGAUAAGUGGUAGGCACAAAAGUAUCAAUAUUGAUGGGAUGUUUAGUGGCAGAUAGAGCUUUGGGUUUGAAAAUGCCGGCUUUAGACCGUGUGAUCAUAGGAUGAGAAUUAGAGGGAAUAGAGGGUUGAAUGGAAGAGGAUGGAUGGGAUGGCAGAGGUAAGGAAGCACUAGAUGGAGAAGAAGAUGAAGAUGACGGGACCGAAGAAGAAGAUAAUGGCUGAGAUAGUGCAGGGGGAACUAGCGGAGAUGAAGAGAUUGGUGAGGAGGCAGGAGUAUGUUGAAAGGAAGGGAAAGGGAGAGUGAAGAGUGGAUAUGAUGUAGAGGCAGUGGACUGUGGGAGUGAGGAAGAAGAAAGGUGAUGGGCAUCAUGAAACGGAAAAUGCUCUUCAUUAAACAGAACAUGCCUUGAAAUAUAAAUGCGCUCAGACUGGAGAUCUAGGCAACGAUAGCCUUUGUGCUGAAGGCUAUAACUAAGGAAGACACAGUGUUUGCUUUUGUCGUCCAAGUUCGAGGAAACAUAGGGUUUGAGCCAAAGGUAGCAGCUGCAUCCAAAGACCUUUAACUUGGAAUAAUCUGGAGAACGUCGAAAGAGAAGUUCCCAAGGAGAUGUAUCCAACCGAGAAAUAGGCAGUCGGUUAAUGAGAUAAAAAGCAGUUGCAAAAGCUUCAACCCAAAACUUGUGUGGAACCCGAGAAGAAACCAAAAGAGUUCGUGCAGUCUCGGUAAGAUGGCGAUGCUUCCGUUCAACACAUCCAUUUUGUUCCGGAGUGUGAGGACAGCUAUAUUGAUGAGAAAUACCAUUGCGAGAGAGAAAAGAAUUGAACACGGAACUGGUGAACUCACCCCCUGAAUCUGAUCUCAAAAUCUUUAUUUUAUUGCCAAUCAUGUUCUCUACAUAAGCUUUGAAGUGGACAAAUACAGAAAAAACCUCAGACUUAGCUUUCAUGGGAAACAUCCAUGUGUAUUUAGUAAACUCAUCCACAAUCAACAGGUAGAAUCUGUAACCAGUAACAGAAAGGACUGGAGAGGGACCCCAAACAUCACAAUGGAGCAACUUUAAACUAGUUGAAGCAGAACUAGUACUAGAGAAAAAGGGCAGCUUGUGGUUCUUGCCGAUGGCACAAUCAGAGCAAAAGAAAGAUACAGACUUAUCACCAAUGUGAUCAAGACAAUGCUUAUUGAAAACUUUCCUAAACAUAGCAGAGGAAGGAUGACCAAGUCUGUGAUGCCAUGUCUUCAAAGAGGCUUUAGUGCUGAGAAGAGCAGUAUGUGAAGAAGAAACCGAAGAGAGACCGUGAAAUGGAUAGAAGCCUUCUUUAACUGGCCCUCGAAAAAGCAUCCUCCCCGAAGAACGAUCCUUGAUUUCAGAACCAUCAGAAUCAAGGAUCAAAGAACAAUAGUUAUCUUUCUAGAAUUGAUAAGCAGAGAGUAAAUUGAAUUUCAUCAGCGGAACAUGAAGAAUAUUAUUUAAUCGGAAAGAAGCAUGUGGUGUGGAGACUGUAGAGUUACCAGUAUGAUGAAUAGCCAUACCUUGACCAUCACCAACAUACACCUUGUCAUCGCCAGAAUACGGACGGGGAGACUGAAUCGCAUAAUAUCAUUAACAAUAUGAGAGGUGGCACCCGAGUCCAUCAACCAAGUGGGAUGAUGGCUUAGAGUUGGUGUGAACACACAUAGCAGCGAGCUGUGCAGGAGGGAUUUUGCCUGCAAAAGCAUGAUUCAUCCGUGCAUAGCAAUCCAGAGCUUUGUGAUCAAACGAAUUACAUAUUUGGCAGGAAGUGCGACCACCAGAAUUGUGGAAUUGACCACGAUUACCACCAAAAUGAUUGCGAUUUCCAGAGGUGUUUCUGUAAUUGCCAUGAUUCCCACCAGAAUUGUUGAAUUGACCACGAUUGUUGAAGUUCUUAGAAAAAUUACCACGAUGAUUACGCUGAGAGAAACCUCGAUCUCGAUUAUUGUUGUGAAACUUGGAAGGCGCACUGUAAGAUGACUGUUGAGCAGCAAAUGCUUGAGGAAAAUUAUAGAACUGAGAUGGUGUAGGAAGAAGAGGAGGUUGAAACUGCGCAGUAAAUGCCUGAAAAGGCUCAGAAGCGGAGGAGGCCACACAUUUCUUCUUGCGAUGCAUGAAAACUUCCAUUGUUAAGCAACAAUCCAUGAAGUUCAUCCAGUGUUGUGGUAGAAAUCCUGAGCAUGAUAGAGUCAAUGAACGACUCAUACUCAUCAGGUAAGCCAUUGAGAGUGACGGCAAUCAAAUCUGGAUCAGAAACAGAAGCUCCAGCAGCCAUUAAAGAAUCAGCAAGACCUUUGAUGCGCUGCAGAUAAUCGGAGAUAGAGAGAUCUCCUUUAUGAAUAGAGUGAAGGCGAGAACGAAGCUGAUGAAUGUGAGCGGCAGACACGCCACCAAAUCGAUGCUCAAGGUUUAACCAGAGAUCGCGAGACGAGGUGACACCAACCGUAAACGGAACAAUAUCCUUAGAAAGAGUGGAGUUCAACCAGAUCAGGAUAUUCUGAUCUUUUUCAUACCACAGCUCGAAGUCAGGAUUUGGAACUCCAAUGCUGCAACCAAAUGCAUCAAGAACAAACGGCGGUGGGCAAAUUUUCGAGCCAUCAACAAUGCCGGUGAGUUUGUAUCGUCGGAAAAUUGGAGCGAAUAGAGCUUUCCAGACGAGAUAAUUGUCACGUUUGAGCUUCGUAGGAACCAUACAGCUGAUAUUCUGAACAGUUAUAGAAGAAAUUGAAGAAGAGGAAGAAUUAGGGUUCAUCGUAGCAAAAUUGGGGGAAGAAGGUGCAGGAGGAGGAGUAGCAACAACUUCAGGUUGCACAGGAGAAGAAGUCGAAGACGCCAUGGCCAAAGAUCAAAGAUCUGAGAAGCAACGAUCGAAGAACAAAUCGAUCGAAAAAAAAAUCGCAAGAAAAAGAGGGAUCGAGAGGCGGUUAGGCAGAGAGGCUCUGAUACCAUAUAAGAAAUAACUCUUUGUAUUUCAUUACUUAAUGUGUAAGGAUUACAACUCAAUAUAUAUACAAUUCUCUAAUUAAGCUUAGUACCUAAUUAUACUUAAUUAGGUCUCUAAUACAGAGAUUAGUUGCAAAACUGUUACAUCUGAAAAUGACAGCUGUUAGCUAUGACUACUUAUCCCUUUACUUUCGACGCCGUAGUUGAUGGAUGCCAAGGUGUUUUUCAUACAGCGUCCCCUGUACUGCUUUCAGUUACUGACCCUCAGGUUCGUCGCCCUUUUACUUCAUGAUCGCAUAGUCCAGAAAAAAGAAAUCUGAAAAGUCUAAAGCAUUGUAUUUAAUUACUUUCGGAAAAUUGGCUUUCCAGAAUUUUGAUGUUAAAACUGGAACUAUUUUAGGGAGAACUACUUGACCCUGCAGUGAAGGGAACACUUAAUGUUCUACAAUCAUGCGCGAAAUUUCCCAGCAUCAAGAGAGUGGUUUUAACAUCUUCAAUUGCUUCAGUAAUGAUGACUGGAGUCCCUCUGACCUCUGAUGUAGUUUUGGAUGAAACAUGGUAUUCGGAUCCACUUUUUUGUGAGAAGCACAAG
This 23612-nucleotide long non-coding RNA is filed under the name Malus domestica (apple). Its description in RNAcentral is "long non-coding RNA (MDOM_LNC002226)". The record is from RNAcentral. Lineage: Eukaryota; Viridiplantae; Streptophyta; Magnoliopsida; Rosales; Rosaceae.